This 447-nucleotide ribosomal RNA is filed under the name uncultured bacterium. RNAcentral describes it as "partial 16S ribosomal RNA". It matches the Rfam family "Bacterial small subunit ribosomal RNA", at positions 29 to 523 of the family's 1533-position model. The record is from RNAcentral.
AACGAACGCUGGCGGCGGGCUUAACACAUGCAAGUCGAGCGCCCCGCAAGGGGAGCGGCAGACGGGUGAGUAACGCGUGGGAAUCUACCGAGCCCUAAGGAAUAGCUCCGGGAAACUGGAAUUAAUACCUUAUACGCCCUUUGGGGGAAAGAAUUAUCGGGGUUUGAUGAGCCCGCGUUGGAUUAGCUAGUUGGUGGGGUAAAGGCCUACCAAGGCGACGAUCCAUAGCUGGUCUGAGAGGAUGAUCAGCCACAUUGGGACUGAGACACGGCCCAAACUCCUACGGGAGGCAGCAGUGGGGAAUAUUGGACAAUGGGCGCAAGCCUGAUCCAGCCAUGCCGCGUGAGUGAUGAAGGCCCUAGGGUUGUAAAGCUCUUUCACCGGUGAAGAUAAUGACGGUGACCGGAGAAGAAGCCCCGGCUAACUUCGUGCCAGCCGCCGCGGUAA